Non-coding RNA from Pelobates cultripes (western spadefoot toad), 235 nucleotides. NCBI's taxonomy places the organism in Eukaryota, Metazoa, Chordata, Amphibia, Anura, Pelobatidae. The record is from the annotation of a GenBank genome assembly.
UACAUGUACCCCCCGUCCUGGUCCAGCUCCUGACUGGAGCACUUCCUCCUCGAAGACCUCAGUAUCCUCUGAAGCCUGCACAAGCUGAAGCCAUCACCAAACAAGUUGAAUCUCUGCUUGCCAAAGGUGCCCUCACCAAGUGCACAUCUCCAUGCAACACCCCACUUUUCCCUGUUAAAAAGCGCACUGUUAAGGGCCAACCCGACCAGUACCGCAUGGUACAGGACCUCCGUGC